This 346-nucleotide long non-coding RNA is filed under the name Dromaius novaehollandiae (emu). Its description in RNAcentral is "lncRNA (ENSDNVG00000000983.1)". Lineage: Eukaryota; Metazoa; Chordata; Aves; Casuariiformes; Dromaiidae. The record is from RNAcentral.
CACAAAUAAGUUGAGAACUGUUUGCUGCAAGAUGGCAUCCUGUGAGAGGUGGUGGUUUGGUCCAGCAGCAUAAAAAAGAAGUGUUAGGAGCUGCUCUUAACCCUUUCGGAGUCCGAAGUCAAAAGAUUUCCCACAGUAGAAAAGCAGGGAUAGGACUAGACGGCUGAAAACAUUGCUAGACCUCUUUAAGAGCACCAGCACAUCAAGGUGUGUAUUAUACAGGGAACCAGAGGGCUUGACACAUCCUUUACAUCCUGCAUUUACUCUGACCACAGUCCCUCCCUGUUCUCACAAGUGGAGCUCAGCCCUGCUUCCCUUCCUGUUGAUUCCCAGUCAGCUACAUGAC